RNAcentral lists this ribosomal RNA (252 nucleotides) under uncultured bacterium. RNAcentral describes it as "partial 16S ribosomal RNA". It matches the Rfam family "Bacterial small subunit ribosomal RNA", at positions 524 to 776 of the family's 1533-position model. The record is from RNAcentral.
UACAUAGGGGGCAAGCGUUAUCCGGAAUUAUUGGGCGUAAAGGGUGCGUAGGCGGCCUAUUAAGUUUAAGGUGUAAGUGCAAGGCUCAACCUUGUGAUGCUUUAGAAACUGGUAGGCUAGAGGACAGUAGAGGCAAGUGGAAUUCCAUGUGUAGCGGUAAAAUGCGUAAAUAUAUGGAGGAACACCAGUGGCGAAGGCGACUUGCUGGGCUGUGACUGACGCUGAGGCACGAAAGCGUGGGGAGCAAACAGG